Molecule: long non-coding RNA, 1944 nt
Organism: Brienomyrus brachyistius
Lineage: Eukaryota; Metazoa; Chordata; Actinopteri; Osteoglossiformes; Mormyridae
Exons: 2
Source: RefSeq, a predicted model, not a curated record
UAUAUAUAUCUUCACUUGAUACAUUUGUGUUCAUUACCAUUUUUGUUUGAGACAACUAGCCAACUCUUCCAUAUAGUGUUUGCAAAGCUUUAAGGCUACAAUGUAAUGUGAUGUAAACAUAGGGCAAAAGCCCAUUACUAUGAGCCAAAGUUCAGUAUGUCUUGAUAUAAUUUUUAUUUUUAAACUAUUGGUCUGUUAUCAGGUCAGUAAGGUUAAGCUGCUGCUUGGUGUGUGUGUGGCAUUGUGAUGUGUACAGCUUCUGCUGUUUUCCUAGUCAUUAAGUUAUACCUGAUAACUCCCCCGCCCCCCCAAUAGUACAUAACUAAUACACAGCCAAAUAUAUUAGAAUCACAUAUGACAUGCAGUAUUUGUGAUGUUUAAUAAAGGAGUUUAUUUUGAAGUUCAUGGUGUUUGUGUGUGCUUUGUGCUUACGGCGUUGGGCACGAGUGAAGCAGGAAACACAGCUGGAUGAUCCUGCAACGUUAUUUUUAGAGAUUUGGGCUCUGAUAUGACUUUGGGCAGAGCGACUACUUUACCUCCCACAUUGCCCUUGCCUAAAAUGAACGUGACUUCACGAUUUCAAUCGAACUGCAACUUGCACACAACUAGAGAAGUCGCCGGUUCUUAAAUAUACAUGAUGGAAGGGAACCUUUGGUGCCUAAAUUAAUCCCCCGUACCAAGGCAUCACUACUGCAGUAAGUUCCUUCUGAGAACAGCAAAACUCCCUCUGCUAUGAAAGACCAGGGCACUGAUAUGUGACCCAGCUCAUGGCAGUAAAAACAUUCUCUGGAACCUUCUGCUCAUUUAAAUAACCAUCCAGUCCAGCAGGCAAUUUUUAAACUCCUCCAACAGUAUUACCUCCUUGAGCUGAUCAAAGUCAGAGAUACCACUUGCGGCACUUGUGAGAGGACUUGCACAACAGUCUCACAAGUGAAUUCUAAAUGAGUGAAAAGCAGAUUUAUGAAGCUCACGAAAGGCCUCGGGCACCAGUUCAUAUGCUCUUAACACAGUGGCUUUCACAGCGUCAUACUCCAUGCUCUGUUCAAGGGACAAAGUGGAGCUGAUGGCAUCACGGUCCCUGUGAGAUCUGUGCCCUGGUGAGGCAUCACCGGUUUCCACCGCUGCAGGUGUCGGGGAUGACCCGGAUGCAUUGUGGGAACCCCACGGUUCGGUUGUGCACCAGGGCCUCCCUCUCCUCGUUCUAUUGUGGUUAGAGCCAGCUUGCACUGCUCUGUGACUAGUAAACAGCAUUGUACAAGAUCUCCAGUUUCCUGGCAAUUUUCUUGCACGGAAUUGCCUUCAUUUCUCAGAACAAGAAUAGACUGAUGAGUUUCAGAAGAAAGUUCUUUGAUUUUCACCAUUUUGAACUUGUAAUCAAACCCACAAUUGCUGAUGCUCCAGAUCCUCAGGUAGUCCAAAGAAGACCGGUUUCAUUGCUUCUUUAAUCAGCAAAACAAUUUUCAUCUGUGCUGACAUAAUUGCAAAAGGGUUUCUAAUGAUCAGUUAACCUUUUAAAAUGAUAGCCUUGUGUUCCAGUGGAAUGUUGGUUAAUUGUUGCUGAUAUUGGGCCUCUGUACACCUAUGUAGAUAUUCCGUUAAAAACAGCUAUGAUUUAUAACAUUGAUAAUGUCUACACAGUAUUUCUGAUCAAUCCGAUGUUAUUUUGAUGGUCAAAAAAAACUAAAAGAAAUUUUAAGUGACCCCAAACUUUUUCAACGGUAGUGUAUGCACUAAAACAUAAAAUUUAUGUGAAGCAAUGAGAAAUGAUGUUUUGCUGUGCAGAAGUAACAUUACGGUGUGGGGAUUAUACUAGCUGUUGUACAAAUGUUAAUUGUCAUUUGGAAUUUAAAAAAUAAUAAUAGAGUGGUUUAAAUUUUUUCCCCAGCUGUAUGCCAAUGUGAUGUUUGUGUUUUAUUUUUAAUAAAUUUGAAAAAAUGCCUAAAA